This 480-nucleotide ribosomal RNA is filed under the name Yamadazyma riverae. RNAcentral's name for it is "eukaryotic LSU rRNA". It matches the Rfam family "Eukaryotic large subunit ribosomal RNA", at positions 99 to 634 of the family's 3401-position model. Lineage: Eukaryota; Fungi; Ascomycota; Pichiomycetes; Serinales; Debaryomycetaceae. The record is from RNAcentral.
CGGCAAUAGCUCAAAUUUGAAAUCUGGCACCUUCGGUGUCCGAGUUGUAAUUUGAAGAAGGUAUCUUUGGUUUUGGCUCUUGUCUAUGUUUCUUGGAACAGGACGUCACAGAGGGUGAGAAUCCCGUGCGAUAAGAUGCCCAAUUCCAUGUAAAGUUCCUUCGACGAGUCGAGUUGUUUGGGAAUGCAGCUCUAAGUGGGUGGUAAAUUCCAUCUAAAGCUAAAUAUUGGCGAGAGACCGAUAGCGAACAAGUACUGUGAAGGAAAGAUGAAAAGAACUUUGAAAAGAGAGUGAAAAAGUACGUGAAAUUGUUGAAAGGGAAGGGCUUGAGGUCAGACUUGGUUUUACCAGGCCAGCAUCAGUUUGGAUGGCAGGAUAAUAGCUAAGAAAUGUGGCACUGCUUCGGUAGUGUGUUAUAUUCUUUGUUGAUACUGCCUGUCUAGACUGAGGACUGCGUCUUUGACUAGGAUGCUGGCAUAA